RNAcentral lists this ribosomal RNA (459 nucleotides) under uncultured bacterium. RNAcentral describes it as "partial 16S ribosomal RNA". It matches the Rfam family "Bacterial small subunit ribosomal RNA", at positions 29 to 507 of the family's 1533-position model. The record is from RNAcentral.
AACGAACGCUGGCGGCAUGCCUAACACAUGCAAGUCGAACGAAACCUUCGGGUAGAGUGGCGCACGGGUGCGUAACGCGUGAGAACCUGCCAUUAGGUUCGGAAUAACUCCCCGAAAGGGGUGCUAAUACCGGAAAAUGUCUUCGGACCAAAGAUUUAUCGCCUUUGGAUGUGCCCGCGUUGGAUUAGCUAGUUGGUAGGGUUAAUGCCUAACUAGGCGACGAUCCGUAGCCGGUUUCAGAGGAUGAUCAGCCACAUUGGGACUGAGACACGGCCCAGAACACUGCGACAGGCAGACGUCCGGGACUCUUCCCGAUGGACGCAAUGGGGACUGUGGGACGCCGGGUGAGAGAUUGAUGCAUUCAUGCUGUGUAGGUGUUGAAGUCCUGAGGGUUGUAAAGCUCUUUUACCGGGGAAAAUAAUGACAGUACCGGGAGAAUAAGCCCCGGCUAACUCCGUG